CCUACGGGAGGCAGCAGUGAGGAAUAUUGGUCAAUGGGCGCGAGCCUGAACCAGCCAAGUAGCGUGAAGGAUGACUGCCCUACGGGUUGUAAACUUCUUUUAUAAAGGAAUAAAGUGAGGCACGUGGGCCUGUUUGAAUGUACUUUAUGAAUAAGGAUCGGCUAACUCCGUGCCAGCAGCCGCGGUAAUACGGAGGAUCCGAGCGUUAUCCGGAUUUAUUGGGUUUAAAGGGAGCGUAGAUGGGUUGUUAAGUCAGUUGUGAAAGUUUGCGGCUCAACCGUAAAAUUGCAAUUGAUACUGGCAGUCUUGAGUACAGUUGAGGUAGGCGGAAUUCGUGGUGUAGCGGUGAAAUGCUUAGAUAUCACGAAGAACUCCGAUUGCGAAGGCAGCUUACUAAACUGCCACUGACAUUGAUGCUCGAAAGUGUGGGUAUCAAACAGGAUUAGAUACCCGAGUAGUC
RNAcentral lists this ribosomal RNA (460 nucleotides) under uncultured bacterium. RNAcentral's name for it is "partial 16S ribosomal RNA". It matches the Rfam family "Bacterial small subunit ribosomal RNA", at positions 338 to 795 of the family's 1533-position model. The record is from RNAcentral.